Molecule: ribosomal RNA, 327 nt
Filed under: uncultured eukaryote
Lineage: Eukaryota
Description: partial 18S ribosomal RNA
Rfam family: Eukaryotic small subunit ribosomal RNA
Source: RNAcentral
CCCUUAGAUGUUCUGGGCCGCACGCGCGCUACACUGACGAAUGCAACGAGCUUAUAACCUUGGCCGAAAGGUCUGGGUAAUCUCCAAAUUUCGUCGUGAUGGGGAUAGAUUAUUGCAAUUAUUAAUCUUCAACGAGGAAUGCCUAGUAAGCGCAAGUCAUCAGCUUGCGUUGAUUACGUCCCUGCCCUUUGUACACACCGCCCGUCGCUCCUACCGAUUGAAUGGUCCGGUGAAGCGUUCGGACCGUGGCCUUUGGACGGUUCGCCGUCUGUUUGCUGCGGGAAGUUCGUUAAACCUUAUCAUUUAGAGGAAGGAGAAGUCGUANCA